This 78-nucleotide transfer RNA is filed under the name Porphyromonas catoniae. RNAcentral's name for it is "tRNA-Val(gac)". It matches the Rfam family "tRNA". Rfam says of the family: Transfer RNA (tRNA) molecules are approximately 80 nucleotides in length. Their secondary structure includes four short double-helical elements and three loops (D, anti-codon, and T loops). The record is from RNAcentral. RNAcentral also lists the same sequence under 3 other names. Lineage: Bacteria; Pseudomonadati; Bacteroidota; Bacteroidia; Bacteroidales; Porphyromonadaceae.
GAAUCUUUAGCUCAGUUGGUUUAGAGCACUACCUUGACAGGGUAGGGGUCGGCGGUUCGAGUCCGCCAAGGUUCACCA